CCUACGGGGGGCAGCAGUGGGGAAUAUUGGACAACGGGGGCAACCCUGAUCCAGCCAUGCCGCGUGUGUGAAGAAGGCCCUCGGGUUGUAAAGCACUUUCAGUGAGGAAGAACGCCUGGUGGUUAAUACCCAUCAGGAAAGACAUCACUCACAGAAGAAGCACCGGCUAACUCCGUGCCAGCAGCCGCGGUAAUACGGAGGGUGCGAGCGUUAAUCGGAAUUACUGGGCGUAAAGCGCGCGUAGGUGGCUUGAUAAGCCGGUUGUGAAAGCCCCGGGCUCAACCUGGGAACGGCAUCCGGAACUGUCAAGCUAGAGUGCAGGAGAGGAAGGUAGAAUUCCCGGUGUAGCGGUGAAAUGCGUAGAGAUCGGGAGGAAUACCAGUGGCGAAGGCGGCCUUCUGGACUGACACUGACACUGAGGUGCGAAAGCGUGGGUAGCAAACAGGAUUAGAUACCCUAGUAGUC
RNAcentral lists this ribosomal RNA (465 nucleotides) under Vreelandella stevensii. RNAcentral describes it as "partial 16S ribosomal RNA". It matches the Rfam family "Bacterial small subunit ribosomal RNA", at positions 338 to 795 of the family's 1533-position model. The record is from RNAcentral. Lineage: Bacteria; Pseudomonadati; Pseudomonadota; Gammaproteobacteria; Oceanospirillales; Halomonadaceae.